This is a non-coding RNA of Peromyscus maniculatus bairdii (prairie deer mouse), 693 nucleotides long. The record is from RefSeq and is a predicted model, not a curated record. Lineage: Eukaryota; Metazoa; Chordata; Mammalia; Rodentia; Cricetidae.
CGCUGCUAGACGCCGCCAUGAGUACCAACAUGUAAGAUACUGUGGGCUGCGGGACUGCAGGGGCUUGGCGGGACCCAAGAGAAGAUCUCCAGCUACAGUGUGGUCCCAGCAUCAGCCCUUUGCCCUUGCAAUGACCCCUCUAACAAAACCAAAUUAAAAAAACAAACAACAAAAAAUCAAAUCAAACCAAACCGAACCAAAAAAAAAAAAAAAAAAAAAAAAAAAGAGGGAGAAGACUCUUGUCCUGGAAGCUGCAGUAUUGUCCGUUAUGCAAGGCCUCUCCUGAACACAGGCACAUGGUGCAAGAGGAAUCUGAAGGUUUGACUGGUUGAUGAUCAAGAUGGCAUGUCAGCUCACCAUUUGGAUCCUUGGUGGGAAUGGCUGGAAGAGGUACAGGCGAGUCUCACAGAGGAAGCAAACCACGCUUAAGGGAAGGCUGUGUGCCCAGCAGUAGAUAUCCAACAGAAAAGGAGCACCAUGGCAUCUUGGGGGAGGGUAUAGUCAGGAUGCACCAUGACAUUGGUUGUCACAUCACUGUCACCGGUUGGCUGUUAUGGCUUUUCACACGUUUCUUGUCUUGGAUGACCUCGGCACUCAGGUAUCUAACAUUAAGUUGAGAUGUCUGGUAUUUCUUUCAUGAUUAGCCUUGGGCCACUGGAUUUUACUGAGGAGGUGUGGGAAGACCACAUAAAU